GCUUGGAUACCUGUUUUAUUUGUUGCGUACCUUUUGCUAGUUUCUCAAUAUUACAAACCUACAUUUAAGAAGAGAUGAUACAUGAAUACAUCGAGAUCAUUCACUGCCACGUGAUUACUACGUUCCCCUUUAAGGCAUCGAGUGCUGCAGGAAUGAGCCCCCCAACCCGCAAGCUUAAUCCUCAUAACUUCUGGACUGUAAGGAACCCGUCUGGAUCAGACCCGCGGCCUCGGACUCACUCUGGAUGGAGAACUGCAGCUUCACUCGGCAGAGAGGCGGCGCCGCGGCGUCGCGCUGCACCGACGUCCCGUCGCCGGAAGUGGAGGAGAAGAAAGUGAAGGAGGAAGAAGUGGAGGAGAAGGAAGUGGAGAUGAUUAAAGACUCUUGAUCCACAGGGAAGUGGAGG
This is a long non-coding RNA of Pseudoliparis swirei, 406 nucleotides long. RefSeq lists it as uncharacterized. The transcript has 4 exons. NCBI's taxonomy places the organism in Eukaryota, Metazoa, Chordata, Actinopteri, Perciformes, Liparidae. The record is from RefSeq and is a predicted model, not a curated record.